RNAcentral lists this ribosomal RNA (253 nucleotides) under uncultured bacterium. RNAcentral describes it as "partial 16S ribosomal RNA". It matches the Rfam family "Bacterial small subunit ribosomal RNA", at positions 524 to 776 of the family's 1533-position model. The record is from RNAcentral.
UACGUAGGGUGCAAGCGUUAAUCGGAAUUACUGGGCGCAAAGCGUGCGCAGGCGGUUUUGUAAGUCUGACGUGAAAUCCCCGGGCUCAACCUGGGAAUUGCGUUGGAGACUGCAAGGCUGGAGUCUGGCAGAGGGGGGUAGAAUUCCACGUGUAGCAGUGAAAUGCGUAGAGAUGUGGAGGAACACCGAUGGCGAAGGCAGCCCCCUGGGUCAAGACUGACGCUCAUGCACGAAAGCGUGGGGAGCAAACAGG